CAGCCGCCGCGGUAACACGUAGGUGGCAAGCGUUGUCCGGAAUUAUUGGGCGUAAAGGGCUCGCAGGCGGUUUCUUAAGUCUGAUGUGAAAGCCCCCGGCUCAACCGGGGAGGGUCAUUGGAAACUGGGAAACUUGAGUGCAGAAGAGGAGAGUGGAAUUCCACGUGUAGCGGUGAAAUGCGUAGAGAUGUGGAGGAACACCAGUGGCGAAGGCGACUCUCUGGUCUGUAACUGACGCUGAGGAGCGAAAGCGUGGGGAGCGAACAGGAUUAGAUACCCGUGUAGUCCCUGUCUCUUAUAC
This 301-nucleotide ribosomal RNA is filed under the name uncultured bacterium. Its description in RNAcentral is "partial 16S ribosomal RNA". It matches the Rfam family "Bacterial small subunit ribosomal RNA", at positions 509 to 807 of the family's 1533-position model. The record is from RNAcentral.